CCUACGGGUGGCUGCAGUGGGGAAUAUUGGGCAAUGGAGGAAACUCUGACCCAGCAACGCCGCGUGAAGGAUGAAGGUUUUCGGAUUGUACACUUCUGUCGCGAGGGAUGAAGAAUGACGGUACCUCGUAAGAAAGCCCCGGCAAACUACGUGCCAGCAGCCGCGGUAAUACGUAGGGGGCGAGCGUUGUCCGGAAUGACUGGGUGUAAAGGGAGCGCAGGCGGCGUGGCAAGUCAGAUGUGAAAACCCGGGGCCCAACCCCGGGAGUGCAUGUGAAACUGCCAUGCUGGAGUGCCGGAGAGGUAAGCGGAAUUCCUAGUGUAGCGGUGAAAUGCGUAGAUAUUAGGAGGAACACCAGUGGCGGAGGCGGCUUACUGGACGGUAACUGACGCUGAGGCUCGAAAGCGUGGGGAGCAAACAGGAUUAGAUACCCGUGUAGUC
This 441-nucleotide ribosomal RNA is filed under the name uncultured bacterium. RNAcentral's name for it is "partial 16S ribosomal RNA". It matches the Rfam family "Bacterial small subunit ribosomal RNA", at positions 338 to 795 of the family's 1533-position model. The record is from RNAcentral.